GGCUUAUUAUUAAUUAAAAUUAUAUUUAUACAUGCAAGUCUCAGCACCCCCGUGAAAUGCCCUUCUUUACCCAUUAGUAGAUAAGGAGCAGAUAUCAGGCCUAAUAACGCCCAUAACAUCUUGCCAAGCCACACCUCCACAGGAAUUCAGCAGUAAUAAACAUUGAAAAAUAAGCGUCAAUAAGCUUGAAUCAGUAAAAAUUUUAAGAGUUGGUAAAUUUCGUGCCAGCCACCGCGGUUAUACGAGAAACUCAAAUUAAUAAAAACGGCCCAAAGCGUGAUUAAAUUAUAUUUAGACUAAUAGAAGUAAAAAUUAACUCGACUGUCGUACGUAUUUGUUAAAUGAAAAAUCAAAAACGAAAGAUAUUCUAACAAACAAAUUACUUGAAUCCACGAAAGCUAAGAAACAAACUAGGAUUAGAUACCCUACUAUGCUUAGCCUUAAACUUUGGAACCUACCCGCCUGAGUACUACGAGCCAUAGCUUAAAACUCAAAGGACUUGGCGGUGCUUUAUACCCCCCUAGAGGAGCCUGUUCUAUAAUUGAUACCCCCCGCUAAACCUCACCACUCAUUGCCAAUACCGCUUAUAUACCGCCGUCGUCAGCUCACCAUUUAAAUGAAAAAUAGUAGGCAUAAUGAUAAACAUAAAAACGUCAGGUCAAGGUGUAGCGAAUUGAGUGGAAAGAAAUGGGCUACAUUUUCUAAAUUAGAAAAUACGAAAAAUUUUAUGAAAAACAAUUUAAAGGUGGAUUUAGCAGUAAAAAGAAAACAGAGUGUUCUUUUUAAAUAGGCCCUAGAGCGCGCACACACCGCCCGUCACCCUCCUCAGAAAAAUAACUUAUAUAUAAUUUUUUUUAAAAAUAAAGAAGAGGAAAGUCGUAACACGUAG
Molecule: non-coding RNA, 889 nt
Filed under: Hynobius sonani (Taichu salamander)
Lineage: Eukaryota; Metazoa; Chordata; Amphibia; Caudata; Hynobiidae
Source: RNAcentral